GUCGCGAUAGCCUAUUAGCGUUGAGAUUUUCCAGCAGCUUCAGAGCAUUGUUUGGGGAGGAACAAGCAGAGCGGAGGGAAUGACUGAAUGAAUGUCCGUUGGGCUGGACAUUGCUUGUAAAAAAGAAAGUGAGGAAGUUGAACUCCCUGGAGAGGGUUCCCACCUGCUUCACAGCCACCAUUAUCCCUGUACCAAAAAGAUCUGCAGUCUCUAAUCUACUCAUCCAAGUGCUUUGAAAAAUGGAUUCUCCAGCACAUCAAAUCAACUUCUCAGCUAGCCUGGCCCCUCACCAGUUUCACAGAGGAUCUCCCCUGCCCUCCAAUCUUCCUUCACACACCUUCGUUAAUACUUUACAAUAUGAGCUGUGGAGUCUGGAUCUGUGGUUGCGAGUCACCUGCUGCCCCCGUGUUCCUGCUAC
Molecule: long non-coding RNA, 418 nt
Organism: Micropterus dolomieu (smallmouth bass)
Lineage: Eukaryota; Metazoa; Chordata; Actinopteri; Centrarchiformes; Centrarchidae
Exons: 3
Source: RefSeq, a predicted model, not a curated record